CUAGUAAUCGUGGAUCAGAAUGCCACGGUGAAUACGUUCCCGGGCCUUGUACACACCGCCCGUCACACCAUGGGAGUGGAUUGCACCAGAAGUAGUUAGUCUAACCUUCGGGGGGACGAUUACCACGGUGUGGUUCAUGACUGGGGUGAAGUCGUAACAAGGUAGCCCUAGGGGAACCUGGGGCUGGAUCACCUCCUUAAACGAA
Molecule: ribosomal RNA, 205 nt
Filed under: Oleiphilus sp. HI0086
Lineage: Bacteria; Pseudomonadati; Pseudomonadota; Gammaproteobacteria; Oceanospirillales; Oleiphilaceae
Description: partial 16S ribosomal RNA
Rfam family: Bacterial small subunit ribosomal RNA
Source: RNAcentral